GUUCUCACUCAUAUUCACAUGAGCCUGGAGAAUUUUAUCAAGUACGGACUACUCUUUGAUCCCAUAAAGAUCAUCUCAGUUUUCAUUAAAGACCCCUAUAAGUGGCCAGCAAUAUAUCUCAUUGCCGCUUCUGUUUUGCUUGCGCUUCCUGCA
Tinamus guttatus (white-throated tinamou) is the source of this 153-nucleotide non-coding RNA. NCBI's taxonomy places the organism in Eukaryota, Metazoa, Chordata, Aves, Tinamiformes, Tinamidae. The record is from RefSeq and is a predicted model, not a curated record.